Molecule: long non-coding RNA, 957 nt
Organism: Haplochromis burtoni (Burton's mouthbrooder)
Lineage: Eukaryota; Metazoa; Chordata; Actinopteri; Cichliformes; Cichlidae
Exons: 2
Source: RefSeq, a predicted model, not a curated record
GUCUGACAGAAAAAGAUAAUUUUUUUAAGUAUUUAAGAAUACAGACAACUUGUCAAAAGUUUCCUUGUGUCACACACAGAUAUGUACAAAGACACUAGACAGUAUUUUAUUACCUGGUAUUUUCACUCGAGGGGCCUGGGGAAACCAUUUUUUGUGGGCUGCUCAUCCUCUGAGUCACUAUAUGUGUACAGGGGAUUUGGUCUAAAGAAAAAAAGUUGAAAACGGUCAUAAGUAAUUACAAAUGUGCUUUUGGAAUAUUUUUUCCUAAAGUUACAGUUUGAUUUAUAACAACACACACAGGAAACGGAGAUGUGCAAGAAGGUACAGUAUACAAGGAAUUUUUGAAGUGCACAAGUGUACACGGCUUUGCAUUUAUAAAAAGUUUACAAGCUUCCACUUUUUGGACUAUAUUAUGUGGUGAUAUUGCAGAUAAACAGGAAACAGAUAAUUACAAUAUAUUUCAUAGUCACUACAAAACUUGAUCUAUUGAUUGAACUAAAUAAUAAAUAAUAGCUUAAAAUGUAUAUAGGCAACAAUUACAAGCAAACCCGUAUAUGUAAGCAUUUAAACACUGAAGAUAAUAAAAUUAACAGUAUUUUGUCUAAGUCUGCCAUUGUAGGAAUUCAUGGCACCGAGACAAAAACUUGGCGCACAGUGUGGCGUCAAAAUAGGCGCACACCUUUGACGCUGCGUUUUCUCCGUCUUCCUCGUCCACACGUAAAUGCUAAACGCAGUUUACGUGUGGACAAAAGGUGCAAACGCAAGUUAGGUGAGCGUGCAGCGUAAAGUUUGAAUUGAGUGCGAAUCGAAGCGGGUGCUCUCCAAUCAUUAAAAGUAACAAAGUCAUUGAACACAUUUAUACAGUUACCUUUACGUUUAUCAAUCAUAUAUCACAGAUUUACAAUUUUUUGUAGUACUAUGCUAAAAAGCAACUACAGAGCGAAAGUCUGGGUCAAG